AGAAUCAACGCUGGCGGCGUGCCUAACACAUGCAAGUCGAACGAGAAAGUGGAGCAAUCCAUGAGUAAAGUGGCGCACGGGUGAGUAACACGUGACUAACCUACCCUUGAGUGGGGGAUAACUUCGGGAAACCGAGGCUAAUACCGCAUAAUACCUACGGGUCAAAGGAGCAAUUCGCUUUAGGAGGGGGUCGCGGUCGAUUAGUUAGUUGGCGGGGUAAUGGCCCACCAAGACUGUGAUCGAUAUCCGGCCUGAGAGGGCGCACGGACACACUGGAACUGAAACACGGUCCAGACUCCUACGGGAGGCAGCAGUGGGGAAUCUUGCGCAAUGGGGGAAACCCUGACGCAGCAACGCCGCGUGGAGGAUGAAGUCCCUUGGGACGUAAACUCCUUUCGAUCGGGACGAUUAUGACUGUACCGGAAGAAGAAGCCCGGCUAACUUCGCGCCAGCAGCCGC
RNAcentral lists this ribosomal RNA (459 nucleotides) under uncultured bacterium. Its description in RNAcentral is "SSU rRNA". It matches the Rfam family "Bacterial small subunit ribosomal RNA", at positions 26 to 518 of the family's 1533-position model. The record is from RNAcentral.